RNAcentral lists this ribosomal RNA (471 nucleotides) under uncultured bacterium. RNAcentral's name for it is "bacterial SSU rRNA". It matches the Rfam family "Bacterial small subunit ribosomal RNA", at positions 28 to 499 of the family's 1533-position model. The record is from RNAcentral.
GAUGAACGCUGGCGGCGUGCUUAACACAUGCAAGUCGAACGGGAAACAUUUCAUUGAAGCUUCGGCAGAUUUGGUCUGUUUCUAGUGGCGGACGGGUGAGUAACGCGUGGGUAACCUGCCUUAUACUGGGGGGAUAACAGCCAGAAAUGGCUGCUAAUACCGCAUAAGCGCACAGGACCGCAUGGUCCAGUGUGAAAAACUCCGGUGGUAUAAGAUGGACCCGCGUUGGAUUAGCUAGUUGGCAGGGCAGCGGCCUACCAAGGCGACGAUCCAUAGCCGGCCUGAGAGGGUGGACGGCCACAUUGGGACUGAGACACGGCCCAGACUCCUACGGGAGGCAGCAGUGGGGAAUAUUGCACAAUGGGGGAAACCCUGAUGCAGCGACGCCGCGUGAAGGAAGAAGUAUCUCGGUAUGUAAACUUCUAUCAGCAGGGAAGAUAAUGACGGUACCUGACUAAGAAGCCCCGGCUA